Molecule: long non-coding RNA, 7342 nt
Filed under: Nicotiana tabacum (common tobacco)
Lineage: Eukaryota; Viridiplantae; Streptophyta; Magnoliopsida; Solanales; Solanaceae
Description: long non-coding RNA (NTAB_LNC016597)
Source: RNAcentral
UAAAAUUAAGAAACAUCAACAUUUCAUUAACUGUGAAAAAUACUAUGACAAAGUAGUAUCAUAUGUCAUCAAGCUAAAUUAGAACAUAGUUAACCGUUUAUAUUAGUUAGCUAUUAUAUUAUCCUAAUACAUCCACUUCAAUUAAAAUGAAUCUCAAUGGUUGUCACUGGGAUUACUAGCGCCAGAAGAUCUUCUUGUAUUCGUCGGUGAAACGAGUCCACUAACUGCAUAACUUGACUGCAGCAAAAAGUAAAAAAAAAAAAUACAAGUAUUAAGAGGAGUAUCAGGAAACAAGUCAUUGAGAUAAAAUAUAUGUUGUCUACUUAAACCAACAAAAAAGAAUGAAACGGGACAAGAUACGAAGCCUCUAGUCUAAAAGGCAGACGAUAUGCAACACGAAUACAAAGAGAAUAAAGCAUUUAUUUAAUAAGUGAUACAACACUUAUGGCAAAAUUCAUGUAGACUAUUAUUUUUUCUUUUUGAAUUACUAUCCUCUAACUUCGACCAGAAUGUUAUGUUAUAGUGAUCCUUUGAACAAAGAAAUAUGAAUCAUUUGGUUUUCUGCAGGUUUGGGGGUUGACUUGAAGUAAAAUUGUGUAAUACUAGCUGGUUUUGGAGCUGAAAUUGACAUGUAUGAAAAAUAAAAUUGCACAAUACACCAAAAAUAAAAAGAACUUAUCAUUUACCGUUGUAGGAGAAGCAAAUAUCCCAGCAAAUUGUUCUAGUAUUGGCCCUUCCUUCAUUAUCAUGUAUGCUUUGAGAGUAUUCAUCAAUUGAUUGUACUUCUCUUGGCAUCAAGAAGAAGAACAUCCAACAUUAUUACUCACAAUUCUAAUAUUACCAAGACAAAGAUUUGUCUCUUUGAAAGUAUUGCUUGGAGUAACUCCUAAUCCCAAACAUCUCACCCUUCCAGGAUGCUCUUUGCCUAGCACCUUACCAACAACAUCAUUUGGAGAAAUUUCAGACUCAUCCACUGUACUUUCACUCACUGCUAGCUCAAUUUUUUCCUAAACACAAUACACAUAAAAAAAAUUCGAGCCAACCUUAUAACUGUAUAUUUUAUAGUCUGAAUGAGUAACCUGAAAAAGAAAGGUCGCUACUGCUAUUGCCGACACUAUUAAUCUGACAAUUACCCUCGUACCCUAUUACUAUAUUAAAUUUCAGGUUUCAAAUGUGAAAGUUAGAAAAAAAGUAACUAAAGAAGAAAAUGAAAAACACAUUAUUAAUGGUAAGCAUGUAUGUAGUAAUUGUUGAGACAUAUCCAAAGGUCCACAACACAGUUAAAGGCUACGCACCCACCCUAUAUUCAAAACGUUGUUAUCACUUUCUCCUCGUUGAAAACUCUCUUUUCCCACUUUGCCCCACGACUACCACACUUUCCUUCACAUGUUUUUGUCAUGUUCAAUAAAUUAUAACUACACCAAAUUAAAUAAAACACAGGGCCAGUUUAUUAGUAGAUCAUUUCCAUGCAUUUAUCAUGGACCGGGCACAAGGCAACUUUACAACACAGUAAGAGUCAAUAUGAACAAACAAAAAUCAAUUUAUCUGUCUAAGAAAUUUGUGGAUAACAACUUCUUUGCCAUUGCUAUUGGAGAAGAUUAAACAAAAGAUAUCAGCUUGAAAUCCUAAAGAACCCAAAACAAAAUGAAGAGAAAAGACUCUUUAACAUAUUCCAAAAGCAAGAUUAACCAGAAUUCAAGAGAAUAAGAGGAAAAAAGACUAGAGAUUAAAACAUCAAAAGCGAACAAAAAUUCACAACUUUUACAGACAUAUUAGGAAUAAAGAGAUGAUAUUUACAAUAUCAACUGGUGCUUUGAUGUGCUUAACAAUAGAAGAAGAACACUGGUGGUCACUGGGAUUCCUUUUAUCAACAAAGUUCACCAUAUGAUUCCUUUUAUUCUAGUUUUCAUGAUAGUCACACAUAGAUCAUUCUAUCUUAGCUGUUCAGAGCAACAUAGUAUCAUGAACAAGACUGUCGACUAGAGUCAUUUAGGCAAACAAGUCAGCAUGAGAACAUGAAAUAGAAUCAUUACUAAGAGUCGUUCAAUAGACUAGACCAAAACAUCAUGACAUAAAGGUUGAAACAAACACAAUGAUGCAGGUGUAAUGGUCUUAUAUUGUAACUUACACAUAUUUCUUUUGCCUGCUCAUUUACAUAUGAUGCAUCUUUUUUCGUAUGUAUAGCAAGAUAAAGUUGUGCUCGUCUAGGCUUACUCCCCGUCUCAGCCAUCUAUGUAUGAAAACAAAAAUAAGUCAGAAUAGUUUAAUUAAAGUAAAAGAAAUAGAUACAAUAUCUAAAAUUUAAAUAGUAAAGUAAGGUAAAUAAUGUGAUAUCUUUCACCAUUUCAGCCCUUCUUCUAGAAUUAGGUUUGGAGCCACCGGUGUGUGGAACUGUUUGUUUCUUCCGAUUUUCAGCAUUUCUUUUACACAUGUUCUAACAAUAAGAUACAUUUCAGUCAAUUAUAUAAAUGAAUAAUCAUAUUUUUAUGCAUUUCAAUGUGACGUUUCAGAAAAAUACCUGAGUUUCUUCUUUAUAACGGUAGUUCACAAAGGAAGUCCAUUGAUCCCGAGUAAUACCUACCAGAACAUUAUUAAUAAUCUCAUAUUUAGUUUUAAGUGGGUCUUUAAACUCAUACCACAACUUCUGCCUACUUGCAGCCCACUUAUUUGCAAUAGAGCGAUAAACAUAUCCUCGUGUAACUUCCUCAAUGGUCAUAAAACAGAAAUGAGGCUUCAAAAAUAAAUUUUGGUUAGUUUAUCUUUUAUAUACAAAUAUAAAAACAAAAGACAAAAUAGAGAUAUAGUUAUAAAGAUAUAGAACUUAUACCUUUAUAACGUUAUUAAAGCGGUUGUUAAAGUAUGACUUAGGCAUAUCCGACCAUUUAUCAAAGCCAAUUGAAAAUAUGGUACAGUCAGUUGCUAAAAGUCCACAUACGCCUGCAAGAAGGCCUUGUGCUUCGCCAAUCGGAUCCAAGUAAUCAAACUCCACCACAAGACUGCAACAACCUCUUUUGGCAGCACAUUGUGAAUUGCUAUUGGUAGCAAUUGUUCUAUAAUAAUGCGACAAUCAUGACUCUUUAAUCCAAAGAUUCUCCUUUGGUACGGAUCAAUGCAAUGAGAAAUAUUACUCGAGUAACCAUAUGGCACUGAAAUAUUCUUUAAAGUUGUGAGGAAGGCCACUUUCUUUUCCCUUGGAAUGGUAAACACAGCAAGCCAACAAUUAUCAUUCUCAUCAGGUCAAAGAUCACACCUUAUACCCAUAUCUUGUAAAUCUUUUCUUGCCUUAAUAUUGUCUUUUGAUUUGUCUUUAUCAUUGAGCAAUGAAUAUAUAAUAUUGUCAAACAUAUUCUUUUCGAUGUGUAUGACGUCUAAAUUGUGGCGCAACGAAUUGAAUUCCCAAUAUGGAAGAUUAAAGAAUAUGCUUUUUUCCUCCAUUGUUGCGCUGCACCUUGCCCAAUAUUUCUUUAUCUUGAUCUUUUCCUUCUCUCAGUCUACUCAGCCGGUUUUCCAAAUGUAACAUCAAUAUCUUUCACUUGUUGUAAAAUAUCAGAUCCGGAUAACUUUUUUGGUGGAUUUCUUUCCUCAACAUAAGCGAUGCCUCAUCAAUCUAAAUUUAUGAUUUCUUGCUAAAAAUCUACGAUGGCCAAUAAAGCACCACUUUCUACUAUGGUGAAGCCGACAAGGUUCUACAUCAAAAUUACAAGUGGGACAUGCUAAACCAGUAUGUGAGUUCUAACCAAAUAAGAUAUUGAGUCCAGGAGAGUCAUUAAUUAUCCACAUAAGAGUUGCUCGCAAUCUAAACAUCUCUUUCUUUGAUGAAUCAAAAGUUUCGACAACCUCACUCCACAACUCAUUCAACUCCUUAAUAAGGAGUUGUAGGUAAACAUCUAUGUUAUUUCCCGCUGUACGUGGACCAGGAAUGAUCAUUGAGAGAAUAAAAUUUGGUUGUUUCAUACACAACCAAGGAGGAAGGUUGUAUGGAACUAAAACAACUGGCCAAACGCUAUAAUUAGUAUUCAUCAUGCCAAAAGGAUUGAAGCCAUCACUAGCUAGGCCUAGCCGAACAUUUCGAGGAUCAAAAGCAAAUUCAGAAAAAGUUGUAUCAAACCUCUUCCAUGCCUCACCAUCUCUAGGAUGCCUCGUGACUCCAUCUCUGUCACCAUCCUCAGCAUGCCAUCUCAUAUGUUUUGCUAUUUUAGAGCACAUGAACAAUCUCUGCAACCUUGGUUUUAAUGGAAAGUAACGCAAAAUCUUUGCAGGCUUCUUGGUUUUCUUUUUGAUUUUCUCCUUACCUGUAGCAGACACAAGAUCUUCAUUUCUCUUCUUGAUAGGCUUCCACCUAGAAGUGUGACAAUACUUACAUGUUUUCUCAUUAGCAUCAUUUCCCAAAAAUAACAUACAAUCAUUUGGACAAGCAUCUAUCUUGAUAUAAUCAAGACAAAGCUUACUAAUGGUUUUCUUGGCUUCAUAAUAAGAAUCAGGGAUCCUUGAAAAUGUAAAUGCGUCCCUCAACAAAUCUAGUAUCAUGGUCAUUCCCUGGUCUAAGACCCUUGUCACUUAGACCAGACAAAUACUUAUGUGAUAUAAUUUUAAUAAAAAUUCUAGUUUUGAGUAAUUGGACCCUUCAUACAAUUCUUGACUUCUAUAUCUAAGCAACUCGAAAAAGUCUUUGUCAUUUGAAGCAGGCUCACCAUUUAACCAUUCUUCACCACCCACUACUUAUAAUGGACCUACAUCAACCCCAUCUUACCUUAGGCCCCCAAAUACUUCAUUGAUCAAUAAUUCUACAGGAUUCUCAGGAGGUAAUGUAUUUUGUAUAACCUCAAUAUUUUUAGAAUUAGCCAACACAUUCCUUUCACCAUGAAUACUCCAAGUGACAUAAUUUUGAGGGAAUGGUUUGCAAAUCAAAUGAUCAAGCACUACAUCUCUAGUCUGCUACUUUGCGAAUCCACAUUUUGGACAAGGACAUUUUAUUCUAUGUCCUACAAUAGCAUUAGCAAAUGCAAAAUCUAAAAACUGAUUUAAACCAAACAAAUAUUCAGUGGUGUUCCUUCGCUUUCUAAUCCAAGAUUUAUCCAUAAGAAAGUAUUAUCCUUCAAUGCAACAGAUGAACCUUUCAGAAUAUAAAGAGAAAAUAUCAGUUCUCUUUUAUUAGACAGAAAAUAUGAAUACAAAAUAUUAAGCAAUAAAUACAUACAACAAAAAGUCAUCUAUAAUCAUAAACACUACAAAAUUGAAAAUUCCGAAACAGAGAAUGAUUUGCAUAGUCAUAGUCACAUGUCCCAACAAUAAUAAGUAGAUUCAAAGACAUGGAAGUCAAACAAACAAUAAGCAUCAUGAAAUAAAAUAAAUUUACUGUAAGUUAUCAAAAGGAAAUAAUUUACUGUAAAAUAUCUGUCACAAAGCAUCUAAUUUGGAGAAAUUAAUAGGAAAAAAGUCCUUGAUCUAAAAUAUAAUGAUUUAUUCUGUCAUUAAUCUAAAUAUUCAUAUAUAAAGAAUCUGUUAUUUAAAUUCCUUUACUAUAUAAGAAAAUAUGUGGCAUAUAAAUACAGAAAUCUCAUAGAACAUAGAAAUUUUGGAAAACUCCUAUAGAUCAGGAAAAAAAAGAAGCAUAAAUAUGGAGCAACUCUUGUCCAACACUAUUUAUAAGUAUAUCCGAAGUUAUUUAUGGACUAAACGUGAAUUGAUUUCAACAAUAUAUCUAACCAAACUAAUCAAAUAUUAAGAAACAAUGCACCACUUGCUCUCUCUUCUCCUUCUCAUCCACACUGCAUUCAACUAUAAUUUGAGAAUAAAACUUGGUUGAUUGAAUUGAAUGCAACACUACCCACCAACCGACGCCACAGGUAAGUAGACAACUACCUCAUUUACCCUCUCUAUUUACUCCUAUUCACUGACAGUAUCUGCACGUAACCACUCUGUCGCUGCUCCAUAAUAUAUUUGUUAUGUACUUUCAUCCUAUAUAUACUCAACGUUGUUCCUCAGUCUUUAUUAUAGAAUACAGAAUUACAACAUUAUAUAUGAUGGAUACAAAUAGAGCAGGACUUGAUGAGUGCAUCGAGAAGAUCAAGAAAAUGAAGACAAUGGAGUUAAAUGAUACUGGUUCUGAGGAAAAAAGUAGAUAUGAUAGAGGUAGAAGCUAUGAAAUGGUUCUAAGAAUGAUGGGGUUAAUUUUCAUACUAGUAGCGGCUAUUGUGGCUGCCAUCAACAAAGAUACUUAGGAUGUUCCCAUAACUCUCGUAGACGGCUUACCUCCUUUGAGCAGAACCUUUUUCUCAAUUACUUUUUAAAUAGUUUGAAAGUUAACUAUGUGACCUAUAAUAUUUUUAUAUAGUUUUUUUUAAGUAUGUAAAUUUUAUUUCAAAAUACUUGAAGAUUCUAUGUCUGCAUGCUCCGAAUCAAGCCAUUCCAAAAAUUCAACUAAAGUUCUUUUAGAAAAAUUGAAAGCGAAAAACAUGUUCCCCCUCUAAUUUCACCUAAAAAUCAAAUUCACCCACCAACUCGAAUGAGCAUAAUUUCCUGUGCAUUUCUAGCCUUUUCUUUAUAAACAAGCCUUUGUUAUCACCAAUGAAGGACACAAUAAGCAGAAAGAAGUUUGACAGGAUAUAACAAGCAGAUACUAGAAUCAAAGAGAAUCACCAUCGAACAGAAAUAGAACAUCUUCAACACUCCACAAAGGCAUCAGUUGUUAUUCAGAAUAUCAUUGCACUAAUAAAAACAAUGCUUACGCAAUUAAUUCCUUAAGUAUCAAUUUUUUCUGUUUUAAUUUCAGUACUCCCCAAACAACCAUCAAAUUAAGAAACAGAAAGAAGAGAUAAAAGUAAGAAAUUAUAAAAACGAUACAUAUUCGGUACUCAAAUAGGGGGCAUAAACCCUUGUAAAAAUCACAGAAAACCAGUAUUAAAGAGAGAGAGAGAGAGAGAGAGAGAGAGAGAGAGAGAGAGAGAGAGAGAGAGAGAGAGAGAGAGAGAGAGAGAGAGAGAGAGAGAAGGAGAGAGAGAGAGAGGGAGAGAACGGAAGCAAACCCCAGAUGAGAAAAUAAUUAAAAGAAAUGAAUCUCGAAAUAAGCUUAGGUGUAGAUAAAGAGCUUGCCUUGAGUGGUUAGCUUUCUGAUUGGAUCUCUUGUACACGAUGAGAAUCAGACGGAAGUCUUCUGAUUGCCUUGAAUUGAUUUCAAUUAGGUGGAAGUGUUAAGGGAUUUCAAUCAGAACCAACAGAUUGUGGUUUCCUGCACAGAGAGAGAGGGGGAGUCGACUAGGCGGAAGUGUUAAGGGCGGAUAUUUCUAGACUGAAAAGGCUGGGGAAAAAGGAGGGAGUGUGAAAUAAAUUGGGCGCUUUUUUU